AACGCACCUUGCGCCCCUUGGUAUUCCGAGGGGCACACCCGUUUGAGUGUCGUGAACACCCUCAACCUUCUUGGUUUCUUGACCAGGAAGGCUUGGACUUUGGAGGCAUAAACUUGCUGGACCCUUUUGGAAUCCAGCUCCUCCUAAAUGAAUUAGUGGGGUCCGCUAUUGCUGAUCCUUGACGUGAUAAGUAUUCCUUCUACGUCUUGGGUUUUGCAGUGUCACCUUGGAACCUGCCCUCCAACUGUCUUUGAAUGAAGACAACGUUCGAGUUACGACUCGACCUUACAGACCUUGACCUCAAAUCGGGUGAGACUACCCGCUGAACUUAA
Molecule: ribosomal RNA, 332 nt
Filed under: uncultured Russula
Lineage: Eukaryota; Fungi; Basidiomycota; Agaricomycetes; Russulales; Russulaceae
Description: eukaryotic LSU rRNA
Source: RNAcentral